This 771-nucleotide ribosomal RNA is filed under the name uncultured Neocallimastigales. RNAcentral's name for it is "partial large subunit ribosomal RNA". It matches the Rfam family "Eukaryotic large subunit ribosomal RNA", at positions 24 to 649 of the family's 3401-position model. Lineage: Eukaryota; Fungi; Neocallimastigomycota; Neocallimastigomycetes; Neocallimastigales. The record is from RNAcentral.
ACGACUACAUAUCAGGCAUAUCAAUAAGCGGAGGAAAAGAAACUAACAAGGAUUCCCUAGUAACGGCGAGUGAAGCGGGAAGAGCUCAAAUUUGAAAUCUUCAAGGUUCUACCUUGACGAAUUGUAGUUUAAAGAAGUGUUUUCUGUUAGAUGAGUAGCAAAAGUUCCUUGGAAUGGGACAUCAUAGAGGGUGAGAAUCCCGUAUUUGGUUAUUCAUUCUAGCUUUGUGAUACACUUUCAAAGAGUCGGAUUGUUUGGGAAUGCAGUCCAAAAUGGGUGGUAAAUUUCAUCUAAAGCUAAAUAUUGGCGAGAGACCGAUAGCGAACAAGUACCGUGAGGGAAAGAUGAAAGAACUUUGAAAAGAGAGUUAAACAGUACGUGAAAUUGUCAAAAGGGAAGCGUUUGACACCAGUGUUGUUUUUCCGAAAAUCAAUUACGAAUGGCUUGAUUUUGUGUUGUAUUGACCUUAUCAGCUUUCUUCACUUUUUUCGAGUCUUUCUUAAUGCACUUUUCGGUUAACAAGUCAACAUCAAUUUCUUUUGUUGUAAAAGAGUAUUUGGAAGGUGGCUUUCUUUUCGGAGAAAGUGUUUAUAGCCCCAUACUUCUACAAUCGGAGAGAUUGAGGUCUGCAGCGUAGAUCCUUCGGGGUUAGAUACACUUGUGCUAAGUUGUAGCUUUUCAUAGACAACUUGUUGACUAUGUUUAGUCAUGCGGCUUACUCGCUUGUGCUAUUUUACCUACGCUUAGGAUGUUGAGUAGCGACAUACGCAC